GACGAACGCUGGCGGCGUGCUUAACACAUGCAAGUCGAACGGAAAGGCCCUGCUUUUGUGGGGUGCUCGAGUGGCGAACGGGUGAGUAACACGUGAGUAACCUGCCCUUGACUUUGGGAUAACUUCAGGAAACUGGGGCUAAUACCGGAUAGGAGCUCCUGCUGCAUGGUGGGGGAUGGAAAGUUUCGGCGGUUGGGGAUGGACUCGCGGCUUAUCAGCUUGUUGGUGGGGUAGUGGCUUACAAAGGCUUUGACGGGUAGCCGGCCUGAGAGGGUGGCCGGGCACAUUGGGACUGAGAUACGGCCCAGACUCCUACGGGAGGCAGCAGUGGGGAAUAUUGCACAAUGGGCGGAAGCCUGAUGCAGCAACGCCGCGUGCGGGAUGACGGCCUUCGGGUUGUAAACCGCUUUCGCCUGUGACGAAGCGUGAGUGACGGUAAUGGGUAAAGAAGCACCGGCUAACUACGUG
This 468-nucleotide ribosomal RNA is filed under the name uncultured bacterium. RNAcentral's name for it is "partial 16S ribosomal RNA". It matches the Rfam family "Bacterial small subunit ribosomal RNA", at positions 28 to 507 of the family's 1533-position model. The record is from RNAcentral.